UUUUCAGGAGUUCCUUAAAAAAUGUCUCCAGUAGUCUCUUCAGCGAUUCAGGGAUGUCGUCAGGAGGAAUCAGAGAUGCCUUGAGGAGUUUCAUCAGGAAUUCCGUCAGAAGAUCUCUUAGGUAUUCCGACAGGAGUGUUUUCAAGGAAUGCUUUAGGAGUUCCUUCAGAGAUUUUUUCAGGAGGAUUCAGAGAUGCCUCCAGAAGUUCAAUUAGGGACUCCUAUUAGUCUAGGAGUUCCGUCUGAUGUUCAAGAAUUCCUACAGGAGUUCCUUCGGGAAUUUGUCGUCUAGGAUUUCCUUCAGAGAUUCUUCCAGGAGCAUACAAGGAUGCCUCCAGUAGUUUUAAGGAUUCCUUCAGAAGGGAUGUUCACAGAUUAGUCCAGGAGUUCCUUCUAAAAUUCUUCCAGGAGCUCCCUCAGGGAUUCCUCCUGGGUCGCUCCUGAAAUUAUUUCAGAGAUUUUUCCAGAAGGACGCAGUGAUGCCUCGAAGAGUUCCUUCAGGAAUUCCAUUAGGAGUUCCUUCAAGGAUUUCUUCAGGACUAAAUCAGCCAUAUCUCCAGGAUUUCUGUAAAAGAUCUCUCAUAGAGUACCCAAAAGAAUUCCUCCAAAAUAUCUUCCAGGUAAUCCUCCACGAUUUAAUUCUGGAAUUCCUAUGAGGAUUCCUCCUGGAAUUUCUUCCAAGAUCCCUCCUGGAAUUCCUUCGGGGAUUUCUCCUGGUACUCUUUCGAAGACUUGUAACUGCCGACUAGCUCAAGAGGGGAGCCUUCCUGAGACUCCCUGAAACAAAACCUCAGGGUCGGCAUGCUUCUCGACCAGUUAUUCGCGGGCAGGGAAUAUUCGCACUGUCGUACAGAAAAACUCACAUCACUUCACAAUUUACACAUUUAUUCCCGGACUUUUCCGGUCUCUUCUUCUUCUUACACUUUCCUCUUUCCCACAUUCUUAUAUCUACUCUAACCUGAUCUUUCCUUUUCCUAUCGGGGCCCCUUCUAUCUUCCACCUUUUUACCACCAGCUUCCACCAGAUCUUCUACGAUGGCGGCCUUCCAAACGUUGCGCUUCGGCGUCCUUCGGGGUAGCGAUGGCGACUUUCAAAGGCCCUUGUAGUCUCGGGCUGCCGAGUAUGUUGACGGACUCGGUUACGACGAUUACGAUUUGCCGGAACCGCCUCAACAUAGGGGGAGGGGGGGGUGUUUGGUAUCCUUCAGCAGUCAGAACCGAAGUUCUGACCAAAAAUAGCGGGGUUCUGCUGUCUUUCUACGCUUCACUUGCUUUUCCGUCUAUAUCUUUAACUCUUUCACUGCGGGUACAACCUUCCGCACAAUUGUUCACUACAACCUCUUAAGUUGGCGGUUCGUUUGGCAGGCUUUCAAGAAUCAUGGAGUACAAAUGGGUCACUGUCCUUUAUACUCGGCCAGCGACCUAGAUCAGUCGUGUCCCUCUCUCAUCAUCGUGUCCGUUAGCCCGUCCAUCUUUGUUUCUUCGUCCAUUCCUUCCAGGCUACCAACAGGAUCUGCUUGUCCCUCUGGUGGUGGGUUUUGGAAACUGGUGGCGUAGUAUGGUAGACUGUUCAACUACGGUCUAGCAGACAUCUAGCUAACGGAGAAAACUACACAACAUAUACGAACACUUCCUACACUUUUUAUACAAUACACGGUUCCAAUUCAUACAAAAUCUCAAAAACACUCCACACUGAACUGCGAACACUUACACUCUCCCCCAGCUCGGGUAAAAAAUAUUUACAAAGUAAAUAUUUUUUCCACAGAUUACACAAGACUUCCCCGGUUACACGUACCUCUGAACCUACCAACACAAACCACUCAACACCAGAACAAAUUCACUUCAACCGACGGUAGUUCACAAAACACUUGACUCGAAACGUACUAGAUUAAGUCAUACAGAAAUACAUCAAUGAAACACAUUGUAAAAGACCAGUAAGUACGUUUACAGAGUAUCGGGGUCAUAGAUUUUCAUCGUUGUUACCAACUCCUCACAAUUUAGAGAUUAACUCUGUACUGACCGUCAACGCGAUUGCUCUGGUCUCCAGCGAUCAAAUGCGCAAACAUUGAGCUUGGCAACCUCUUCCAAUACUUACAUUUUGUCCAUACGAUUGUUUAAAAAGCUUUCUUCACAACGAAACAAAUGACAAUGCUCUAUUUACACUACGUAUUUACAUUACUUACAAGUAUUUACAGAUUAAAAUUUCAUUUAACAAAGCUACGGUAUAGUACGGUAAAAUGGUGCUUUGAAAUGUUUCACCGGUUUGUCGGAGUUGUGAUCGUUCUAGUACUACUUGUUUCGAAUUCCAUUCGAACAAUAGUCUUUUGGUGUGUGUUUGUAUUGAGAUGAUUUCGAACUGUCAAACUACUAAUUAUUGUGCAAUGUUAUGGUGAUGAAAUAUGAUCAACAUGAGGAAUCUCUCUACAACUACAGCCUCCGCAGCAUCGAGACCAGAUGACGUCAUGAAGAUCAAGCAUCCGAAGAGCAUCGCGUACGGAGACUGGAAGGAAUAGCAUCUCUAGACGAUGUAUUAACAGAGGAACUAUGACCGUGCUACAGACGAACCUUCCUAUAUAGAGUGACCCAGCACUCGUGUGGUCUCACUAUCUCACUUUUGCUCAAUCAACUGAACGAUGACGACACGAGUAAUCACCGACUCAGGACGUUUUCUGCACGCCAAUUCGCAAUGGAAUUAGAAUUUAAAAAGAACUAUUUAGGAGCUAAAAGUAUCACAGAUUAGAAUUUGAUAACCUAGUAAAUUGAAAAAUGCUAUAAAAUUUGAAAACCUAGUAAAUUUGAAAAUCCUAUUUGCACACGCUUCAAAAGAAGCACACAAAAUUUGUUGUAAAUAAAAAUUAUCGUUC
Molecule: long non-coding RNA, 2863 nt
Organism: Aedes albopictus (Asian tiger mosquito)
Lineage: Eukaryota; Metazoa; Arthropoda; Insecta; Diptera; Culicidae
Exons: 4
Source: RefSeq, a predicted model, not a curated record